Molecule: ribosomal RNA, 450 nt
Filed under: uncultured bacterium
Lineage: Bacteria
Description: bacterial SSU rRNA
Rfam family: Bacterial small subunit ribosomal RNA
Source: RNAcentral
UCGAGAAUCAUUCGCAAUGGGCGCAAGCCUGACGAUGCGACGCCGUGUGAGCGAUGAAGGCCUUAGGGUUGUAAAGCUCUUUCGCCUGGGAACAAGAGAGGCUGGUUAAUAUCCAGCCAAUUUGAGGGUACUAGGUAAAGAAGCACCGGCUAACUCCGUGCCAGCAGCUGCGGUAAUACGGAGGGUGCAAGCAUUAAUCGGAUUUAUUGGGCGUAAAGGGCGCGUAGGCGGACCUGUAAGUCAGAUGUGAAAUCCCGGGGCUCAACCCCGGAACUGCAUUUGAAACUGCAAGUCUAAGAGGGUAGAUGGAGAAAAUGGAAUUCCACAAGUAGCGGUGAAAUGCGUAGAUAUGUGGAAGAACACCAGUGGCGAAGGCGGUUUUCUAAUUUAUACCUGACGCUAAAGCGCGAAAGCUAGGGGAUCAAACAGGAUUAGAUACCCCCGUAGUCC